This 316-nucleotide unclassified non-coding RNA is filed under the name Hevea brasiliensis (rubber tree). The record is from RNAcentral. Lineage: Eukaryota; Viridiplantae; Streptophyta; Magnoliopsida; Malpighiales; Euphorbiaceae.
GGAUAUUGUGGUUCAGCGUGUUGGGAAUAAACUUUUCUUCGAUAAGAGGGAUGGGUCGCAACUUGAUUUGCUUGCCGUCCAUGAGACCUCUCAGGAACCUUUACCUGAGGCGAAGGACGAUAUCAAUUCCGCUUACUCACUCAGUGUUGAAGCUGCUUACAUUAAUCAGAACUUCUCGCAGCAAGUUUUAGUUAGGGAUGGAAAUAAGGUGGCGUUUGACGAGCCAAACCCAUUUGCAAAUGAGGGUGAGGAGGUUGCUUCUGUUGCUUAUAGGUAUAGGAGGUGGAAACUCGAUGAUGACAUGUAUCUUGUAGCG